UACGUAGGGGGCAAGCGUUAUCCGGAUUUACUGGGUGUAAAGGGAGCGUAGACAGAAUUGCAAGUCUGAUGUGAAAAUCCGGGGCCCAACCCCGGAACUGCAUUGGAAACUGUAUUUCUAGAGUGUCGGAGAGGCAAGUGGAAUUCCUGGUGUAGCGGUGAAAUGCGUAGAUAUCAGGAGGAACACCAGUGGCGAAGGCGGCUUGCUGGACGAUGACUGACGUUGAGGCUCGAAAGCGUGGGGAGCAAACAGG
This 253-nucleotide ribosomal RNA is filed under the name uncultured bacterium. Its description in RNAcentral is "partial 16S ribosomal RNA". It matches the Rfam family "Bacterial small subunit ribosomal RNA", at positions 524 to 776 of the family's 1533-position model. The record is from RNAcentral.